RNAcentral lists this ribosomal RNA (449 nucleotides) under uncultured bacterium. RNAcentral's name for it is "bacterial SSU rRNA". It matches the Rfam family "Bacterial small subunit ribosomal RNA", at positions 28 to 478 of the family's 1533-position model. The record is from RNAcentral.
GAUGAACGCUGGCGGCGUGCUUAACACAUGCAAGUCGAACGGGAAACUUUUCAUUGAAGCUUCGGCAGAUUUGGUCUGUUUCUAGUGGCGGACGGGUGAGUAACGCGUGGGUAACCUGCCUUAUACAGGGGGAUAACAACCAGAAAUGGUUGCUAAUACCGCAUAAGCGCACAGGACCGCAUGGUUUGGUGUGAAAAACUCCGGUGGUAUAAGAUGGACCCGCGUUGGAUUAGCUAGUUGGCAGGGUAACGGCCUACCAAGGCGACGAUCCAUAGCCGGCCUGAGAGGGUGAACGGCCACAUUGGGACUGAGACACGGCCCAGACUCCUACGGGAGGCAGCAGUGGGGAAUAUUGCACAAUGGGGGAAACCCUGAUGCAGCGACGCCGCGUGAAGGAAGAAGUAUCUCGGUAUGUAAACUUCUAUCAGCAGGGAAGAUAGUGACGGUAC